RNAcentral lists this unclassified non-coding RNA (262 nucleotides) under plant metagenome. RNAcentral's name for it is "partial contains small subunit ribosomal RNA, internal transcribed spacer 1, and 5.8S ribosomal RNA". The stretch from base 1 to 54 matches the Rfam family "Eukaryotic small subunit ribosomal RNA", at positions 1778 to 1831 of the family's 1831-position model. The record is from RNAcentral.
GGAAGUAAAAGUCGUAUCAAGGUUUCCGUAGGUGAACCUGCGGAAGGAUCAUUAAAGAGUAAGGGUCUUCGGGCCCGAUCUCCAACCCUUUGUUUAACUACCAUGUUGCUUUGGCGGGCCCGUCUCACGACCGCCGGAAGUUUGGCUUCGACCAAACUUCUGGCCCGUGCCCGUCAGUGGCCCCUUCAAAUUCUUGAUCAAGUAUGAUGUCUUAGUUAAAACUUAAUAGUUAAAACUUUCAACAACGGAUCUCUUGGUUCUG